Molecule: ribosomal RNA, 364 nt
Filed under: Atrachya sp. BMNH 846510
Lineage: Eukaryota; Metazoa; Arthropoda; Insecta; Coleoptera; Chrysomelidae
Description: partial 16S ribosomal RNA
Source: RNAcentral
UUAAAUGGCCGCGGUAUUUUGACCGUGCUAAGGUAGCAUAAUCAUUAGUUUUUUAAUUGAAAACUGGAAUGAAAGGUUGGAUGAAAAAAAAACUGUCUUUGUUAAAAUUUUAUAGAAUUUUAUUUUUAAGUUAAAAAGCUUAAAUAAAAUUAAAAGACGAGAAGACCCUAUAGAGUUUUAUAAUUAUUUUAAUUAUAUUUUUAGAAUAUAUUUAAUAGUUAAGAUUAAUUAUUAAAUUGGGGUGAUUAAAAAAUUUAAUUAACUUUUUUUUAUAUAAAUAUAAAUUAAUAAAUAAUUGAUCCAAAGAUUUUGAUUAUAAGAUAAAGUUACCUUAGGGAUAACAGCGUAAUUUUAUUAGAGAGUU